This 453-nucleotide ribosomal RNA is filed under the name uncultured Porphyromonadaceae bacterium. RNAcentral's name for it is "partial 16S ribosomal RNA". It matches the Rfam family "Bacterial small subunit ribosomal RNA", at positions 341 to 792 of the family's 1533-position model. Lineage: Bacteria; Pseudomonadati; Bacteroidota; Bacteroidia; Bacteroidales; Porphyromonadaceae. The record is from RNAcentral.
ACGGAAGGCAGCAGUGAGGAAUAUUGGUCAAUGGGCGGAAGCCUGAACCAGCCAAGUCGCGUGAAGGAUGAAGGUAUUAUGUAUUGUAAACUUCUUUAGACGUAGAGAAAUAAGAGGCUCGUGAGCCUUGAUGCUAGUAUACGUAGAAUAAGGAUCGGCUAACUCCGUGCCAGCAGCCGCGGUAAUACGGAGGAUCCGAGCGUUAUCCGGAUUUAUUGGGUUUAAAGGGUGCGCAGGCGGCCCUGUAAGUCAGCGGUUAAAUCGUGGAGCUCAACUCCAUCCCGCCGUUGAUACUGCAGGGCUUGAUUGCGGUCGAGGUUGGCGGAAUUCGCCGUGUAGCGGUGAAAUGCAUAGAUAUGGCGAAGAACUCCGAUUGCGUAGGCAGCUGACCAGGCCGUAAAUGACGCUCAUGCACGAAAGUGCGGGGAUCGAGCAGGAUUAGAUACCCUGGUA